This 1474-nucleotide ribosomal RNA is filed under the name Staphylococcus aureus M1142. RNAcentral describes it as "bacterial SSU rRNA". It matches the Rfam family "Bacterial small subunit ribosomal RNA". Lineage: Bacteria; Bacillati; Bacillota; Bacilli; Caryophanales; Staphylococcaceae. The record is from RNAcentral.
AGAGUUUGAUCCUGGCUCAGGAUGAACGCUGGCGGCGUGCCUAAUACAUGCAAGUCGAGCGAACGGACGAGAAGCUUGCUUCUCUGAUGUUAGCGGCGGACGGGUGAGUAACACGUGGAUAACCUACCUAUAAGACUGGGAUAACUUCGGGAAACCGGAGCUAAUACCGGAUAAUAUUUUGAACCGCAUGGUUCAAAAGUGAAAGACGGUCUUGCUGUCACUUAUAGAUGGAUCCGCGCUGCAUUAGCUAGUUGGUAAGGUAACGGCUUACCAAGGCAACGAUGCAUAGCCGACCUGAGAGGGUGAUCGGCCACACUGGAACUGAGACACGGUCCAGACUCCUACGGGAGGCAGCAGUAGGGAAUCUUCCGCAAUGGGCGAAAGCCUGACGGAGCAACGCCGCGUGAGUGAUGAAGGUCUUCGGAUCGUAAAACUCUGUUAUUAGGGAAGAACAUAUGUGUAAGUAACUGUGCACAUCUUGACGGUACCUAAUCAGAAAGCCACGGCUAACUACGUGCCAGCAGCCGCGGUAAUACGUAGGUGGCAAGCGUUAUCCGGAAUUAUUGGGCGUAAAGCGCGCGUAGGCGGUUUUUUAAGUCUGAUGUGAAAGCCCACGGCUCAACCGUGGAGGGUCAUUGGAAACUGGAAAACUUGAGUGCAGAAGAGGAAAGUGGAAUUCCAUGUGUAGCGGUGAAAUGCGCAGAGAUAUGGAGGAACACCAGUGGCGAAGGCGACUUUCUGGUCUGUAACUGACGCUGAUGUGCGAAAGCGUGGGGAUCAAACAGGAUUAGAUACCCUGGUAGUCCACGCCGUAAACGAUGAGUGCUAAGUGUUAGGGGGUUUCCGCCCCUUAGUGCUGCAGCUAACGCAUUAAGCACUCCGCCUGGGGAGUACGACCGCAAGGUUGAAACUCAAAGGAAUUGACGGGGACCCGCACAAGCGGUGGAGCAUGUGGUUUAAUUCGAAGCAACGCGAAGAACCUUACCAAAUCUUGACAUCCUUUGACAACUCUAGAGAUAGAGCCUUCCUCUUCGGGGGACAAAGUGACAGGUGGUGCAUGGUUGUCGUCAGCUCGUGUCGUGAGAUGUUGGGUUAAGUCCCGCAACGAGCGCAACCCUUAAGCUUAGUUGCCAUCAUUAAGUUGGGCACUCUAAGUUGACUGCCGGUGACAAACCGGAGGAAGGUGGGGAUGACGUCAAAUCAUCAUGCCCCUUAUGAUUUGGGCUACACACGUGCUACAAUGGACAAUACAAAGGGCAGCGAAACCGCGAGGUCAAGCAAAUCCCAUAAAGUUGUUCUCAGUUCGGAUUGUAGUCUGCAACUCGACUACAUGAAGCUGGAAUCGCUAGUAAUCGUAGAUCAGCAUGCUACGGUGAAUACGUUCCCGGGUCUUGUACACACCGCCCGUCACACCACGAGAGUUUGUAACACCCGAAGCCGGUGGAGUAACCUUUUAGGAGCUAGCCGUCGAAGG